AUUGAACGCUGGCGGCAUGCUUUACACAUGCGAGUCGAACGGCAGCGCGGGCUUCGGCCUGGCGGCGAGUGGCGAACGGGUGAGUAAUGCAUCGGAACGUGCCCAGUAGUGGGGGAUAGCCCGGCGAAAGUCGGAUUAAUACCGCAUACGACCUGAGGGUGAAAGCGGGGGACCGAAAGGCCUCGCGCUAUUGGAGCGGCCGAUGUCGGAUUAGCUAGUUGGUGGGGUAAAGGCUUACCAAGGCGACGAUCCGUAGCUGGUCUGAGAGGACGACCAGCCACACUGGGACUGAGACACGGCCCAGACUCCUACGGGAGGCAGCAGUGGGGAAUUUUGGACAAUGGGGGCAACCCUGAUCCAGCCAUGCCGCGUGCGGGAAGAAGGCCUUCGGGUUGUAAACCGCUUUUGUUCGGGAAGAAAUCCUCUGGGCUAAUACCCCGGGGGGAUGACGGUACCGGAAGAAUAAGCACCGGCUAACUACGUG
RNAcentral lists this ribosomal RNA (484 nucleotides) under uncultured bacterium. RNAcentral describes it as "partial 16S ribosomal RNA". It matches the Rfam family "Bacterial small subunit ribosomal RNA", at positions 28 to 507 of the family's 1533-position model. The record is from RNAcentral.